This 329-nucleotide long non-coding RNA is filed under the name Phoenix dactylifera (date palm). RNAcentral describes it as "long non-coding RNA (PDAC_LNC016750)". The record is from RNAcentral. Lineage: Eukaryota; Viridiplantae; Streptophyta; Magnoliopsida; Arecales; Arecaceae.
UUCGAAUGCUACAACUCCUUGUGGAGUUUCGACGUUGGGGUGGACGCUGUUAGAUAUGUUCGUAUCACUUGUGAAAUUUGAUAUUACUGAGAACCUUCUUUAUCAGGCGUAUGUUCUUAAAAUUUUGCAUUCUUCACAUUAUUACAGGCAUCUUUUGUGAGAUCGUGGCUAAACGACGUUGUCGGAUUUCGUAUCCCUGAAUUAGCAUAUUCUGAAAUUCGACAAUGUGCACAACAACUAAAUGAUAGUGUUGACUGCGGGGCAUACAUGCUUAUGUUUGCAGAGGGACUUACCCGAGGCAGCACGAGACCAUUGCAGGAAGAAUUGAA